CGCGUAGGAAUCUACCGAAUAGUGGGGGACAACCAGUGGAAACGCUGGCUAAUACCGCAUACGCCCUACGGGGAAAGCAGGGGAUCUUCGGACCUUGCGCUAUUUGAUGAGCCUGCGUGAGAUUAGCUUGUUGGUGAGGUAAUGGCUCACCAAGGCGACGAUCUCUAGCUGGUCUGAGAGGAUGAUCAGCCACACUGGGACUGAGACACGGCCCAGACUCCUACGGGAGGCAGCAGUGGGGAAUAUUGCACAAUGGGCGCAAGCCUGAUGCAGCCAUACCGCGUGUGUGAAGAAGGCCUU
This 300-nucleotide ribosomal RNA is filed under the name uncultured Oceanospirillaceae bacterium. RNAcentral describes it as "bacterial SSU rRNA". It matches the Rfam family "Bacterial small subunit ribosomal RNA", at positions 114 to 418 of the family's 1533-position model. Lineage: Bacteria; Pseudomonadati; Pseudomonadota; Gammaproteobacteria; Oceanospirillales; Oceanospirillaceae. The record is from RNAcentral.